This 447-nucleotide ribosomal RNA is filed under the name uncultured bacterium. Its description in RNAcentral is "partial 16S ribosomal RNA". It matches the Rfam family "Bacterial small subunit ribosomal RNA", at positions 29 to 523 of the family's 1533-position model. The record is from RNAcentral.
AACGAACGCUGGCGGCAGGCCUAACACAUGCAAGUCGAACGCCCCGCAAGGGGAGUGGCAGACGGGUGAGUAACGCGUGGGAACCUACCUUUCGGUGCGGAAUAACUUCGGGAAACCAAAGCUAAUACCGCAUACGCCCUACGGGGGAAAGAUUUAUCGCCGAUAGAUGGGCCCGCGUCGGAUUAGCUAGUUGGUGAGGUAACGGCUCACCAAGGCUACGAUCCGUAGCUGGUCUGAGAGGAUGAUCAGCCACACUGGGACUGAGACACGGCCCAGACUCCUACGGGAGGCAGCAGUGGGGAAUAUUGGACAAUGGGCGCAAGCCUGAUCCAGCCAUGCCGCGUGAGUGAAGAAGGCCUUAGGGUUGUAAAGCUCUUUUAGUGGGGACGAUAAUGACGGUACCCACAGAAUAAGCCCCGGCUAACUUCGUGCCAGCAGCCGCCGUAA